Non-coding RNA from Salvia hispanica, 494 nucleotides. NCBI's taxonomy places the organism in Eukaryota, Viridiplantae, Streptophyta, Magnoliopsida, Lamiales, Lamiaceae. The record is from RefSeq and is a predicted model, not a curated record.
UUGGGAGGGGGAGACCCUCGGCCCAUCUCACUAAAUACAUAGGAAGAUUUUCCUUUUCAAUUUCUUCAUAAUUUUCAAGUGUGAAUCAAUGAAAAGGCGACAAAACGUCGGCUAUUCUAGUAAUCUUCUUCCCAAUUUGUGAGCUAUUGUCAAUGCAAAAUCAAGACAAUUGGAGAAGGGCGUUAUCGAGGUCGUAGAUGUGGUAUUUAUCGGUCUUGUUCUCGAAGGUCACGGCAAGGCUGUCCCACAGCGCUUUGGCAGUCAGAUGGUGCGCGAAGUUGGCGAUGAUAUCGUUCUCGAUGUUGUCAACGAUCCACGAGAACACCACCAAGUCGUUUUCCUCCCACACAUCGAACCCUUUGCUUCCUGGUUCCGGGGGCUCGUUCCUGAUGUAUGAGUAGGCUCCUCGGCCUCCAAUUUUUACUUUGAUCAAUCGAGACCAAAGGGGGUAGUUUCUUCCAUUCAACUUGAACGCAACCGUGAUGCUUUUGCUA